This 388-nucleotide ribosomal RNA is filed under the name uncultured bacterium. RNAcentral's name for it is "bacterial SSU rRNA". It matches the Rfam family "Bacterial small subunit ribosomal RNA", at positions 32 to 429 of the family's 1533-position model. The record is from RNAcentral.
GGGUAACGCUGGCGGCGUGCCUAAACAUGCAAGUCGAACGGGUGUCUUUCGGGGCACCAGUGGCAGACGGCUGAGUAACACGUGGGUGACGUGCCUGUAGGUGGGGAAUAACUGCCCGAAAGGGUGGCUAAUUCCGCAUACGCCCGUAGAUUCGGUUCUAUGGGGAAAGCAGCAAUGCGCCGAUGGAGCGGCCCGCGACCGAUUAGCUAGUUGGUGGGGAACGGCCUACCAAGGCGACGACGGUAGCUGGUCUCAGAGGAUGAUCAGCCAGACUGGGACUGAGACACGGCCCAGACUCCUACGGGAGGCAGCAGUGGGGAAUAUUGGACAAUGGGGGCAACCCUGAUCCAGCAAUGCCGCGUGUGUGAAGAAGGCCUUCGGUUGUAAG